AUGCCGUCGUCUCAGGUUCCGAAGUUUUCAUCUCUGCCUGAUGAGUUGAGGGAUGGCCGUGGUGUUGAGGGUGCUACGUUGGAGCGCGCUGAGCAUAUCUUAAGUAAUGUGUGUUCUGAGCUGCAAAAGGUCCCAACGACAGUUGAGCGUCUGAGCUGUAUCAAUGGUAUCCUUCCUGAAGGUCAUCAACUUAAUGUUGAGGAAGCUGUUGACUACAUUGAGAUGGAGAGAAUUUUAAUCGGUGAUAUGCGUGACGGUGCCGCUGAUCUAGUUCAGAGCUCGGUUUGUCUGUUGAACAACAUGAAGCGUUUCAGAACUAUGCAAGACUCUCGCUGCAAGCCAUAUGAAGAAAGUGCAAAUGUUGUUAUCAAGCAGAUUGAGCAGGAUGAGGCUGCUGCCACCGACAGCAGGGCUGGUGAUGGUACUGAGGCUAAUGUUUCUGAUCACGAAACGAAUGAUGUUGUCUUGGAGCGUCCUGAUGUUGAUAUUGAUCAGGAUGAGGCUACUGGCACCGACAGCAGGGCUGAUGAUGGUACUGAGGCUAAUGUUUCUGAUCCGCAUACGAACGAUGUUGGCUUGCAGCAACCUGUUGUUGAUGAGACCAGUCAUAUUGUUGAGGUUGCUGUUGACCAUGGAGUUAAUGAUCCAUCCACUGAUAAGUGCAAGGGUCCUCUUGUUGGCGAUGAGCCUUGUUUGCCCGUUGGUGAUGCUGCUCUGAAUGUUAGCAGCAGCAAGAUUGAUGAUGUUGCUGUGAAUGCUUCUAAGAUUACUGAUGUUGAGCGUGAGGUUGUCCUUAGUGGUGGAGAUGAUGCUCGUGGUGUUCCAUUGAGUAGUGGGCGCAAUGUUGGUAACAAAGUUGCUGAUGAGGAUGCUGGUGCUGCUAGCAUACUUGAUGCCAAAUCGCCUGGUGUUGGUAUUGCUGGGAAUGAAAAUGUUUCUGAUUGUGAAGAUUUCCUGCCGGAGAAUUUCCCGCCUGGAGGUCUUGAUUAUGGUGAUGCAUUGCAAGAUGCUUCUAGCGUGGAGGAGGUGCCAUCCGAGGAUGAUGAUUUACUUCUGUCAAUUUCUUCUGACCCCUCGACACAUGAGGCGCUCUUGUCAUCCCAGGAUUUUCUUUCUACAGACCCUGAAAGCGCAGCAAUAUUGGUGUCCUCUCAAGAUGUCCCAUCGUCAACCCUGAAACUGGAGGCAUAA
RNAcentral lists this ribosomal RNA (1191 nucleotides) under Triticum aestivum (bread wheat). Its description in RNAcentral is "partial small subunit ribosomal RNA". Lineage: Eukaryota; Viridiplantae; Streptophyta; Magnoliopsida; Poales; Poaceae. The record is from RNAcentral.